CAGUCGCCACGGUAAUACGUAGGGUGCAAGCGUUAAUCGGAAUUACUGGGCGUAAAGCGUGCGCAGGCGGUUUGUUAAGACAGAUGUGAAAUCCCCGGGCUCAACCUGGGAACUGCAUUUGUGACUGGCAAGCUAGAGUGUGGCAGAGGGGGGUGGAAUUCCGCGUGUAGCAGUGAAAUGCGUAGAUAUGCGGAGGAACACCGAUGGCGAAGGCAGCCCCCUGGGCCAACACUGACGCUCAUGCACGAAAGCGUGGGGAGCAAACAGGAUUAGAUACCCCAGUAGUCCCUGUCUCUUAUAC
RNAcentral lists this ribosomal RNA (301 nucleotides) under uncultured bacterium. Its description in RNAcentral is "partial 16S ribosomal RNA". It matches the Rfam family "Bacterial small subunit ribosomal RNA", at positions 509 to 807 of the family's 1533-position model. The record is from RNAcentral.